AACCAUUCUCACCUGCGGCUAGACCUGCGGAAGGAUCAUUAAAGAGAAAACUGCCCUUUGGGUAGAUCUCCCACCCUUUGUUUACCUUACCUUUGUUGCUUUGGCAGGCCCGUCUUCUGACUACCGGCUUUUAGCUGGUCCGUGCCUGCCAGAGGACCCCCAACUCUUGAUUUCAAGUUGUCCGAGUCUUAUAUAAUAGUAAAAACUUUCAGCAACGGAUCUCAGAUCGGAAGAGCACAC
This 240-nucleotide unclassified non-coding RNA is filed under the name soil metagenome. RNAcentral's name for it is "partial contains 5.8S ribosomal RNA, internal transcribed spacer 2, and large subunit ribosomal RNA". The record is from RNAcentral.